This 429-nucleotide ribosomal RNA is filed under the name Gemmatimonadota bacterium. RNAcentral describes it as "Gemmatimonadetes bacterium partial 16S ribosomal RNA". It matches the Rfam family "Bacterial small subunit ribosomal RNA", at positions 355 to 776 of the family's 1533-position model. Lineage: Bacteria; Pseudomonadati; Gemmatimonadota. The record is from RNAcentral.
UAGGGAAUCUUCGGCAAUGGACGAAAGCCUGACCGAGCAACGCCGCGUGAGUGAAGAAGGUUUUCGGAUCGUAAAACUCUGUUGUUAGAGAAGAACAAGGACGUUAGUAACUGAACGUCCCCUGACGGUAUCUAACCAGAAAGCCACGGCUAACUACGUGCCAGCAGCCGCGGUAAUACGUAGGUGGCAAGCGUUGUCCGGAUUUAUUGGGCGUAAAGCGAGCGCAGGCGGUUUCUUAAGUCUGAUGUGAAAGCCCCCGGCUCAACCGGGGAGGGUCAUUGGAAACUGGGAGACUAGAGUGCAGAAGAGGAGAGUGGAAUUCCAUGUGUAGCGGUGAAAUGCGUAGAUAUAUGGAGGAACACCAGUGGCGAAGGCGGCUCUCUGGUCUGUAACUGACGCUGAGGCUCGAAAGCGUGGGGAGCAAACAGG